GACGAACGCUGGCGGCGUGCUUAACACAUGCCAGUCGAACGGAAAGGCCCUUCUGGGUAGCCGAGCGCGGAUCGCGUAAGGAUGACUAAGAUGUUAUUAACCUCCCCUCGAGUUUAGGACAGCAAAAGGAGACUAGUACUAAUACCGGCUAGGAGGUGCUGCUCCGUUGUGGGGGUUGGUAAUCUUCGGCGGAUGGGGAUGGGGUCGCGGCUUAUCAGCUUGUUGGUGGGGUAGUGGCUUACCAAGGCGUGGACGGGUAGCCGGCCUGAGAGGGGGACCGGCCACACUGGGACUGAGAUACGGCCCAGACUCCUACGGGAGGCAGCAGUGGGGAAUAUUGCACAAUGGGCGGAAGCCUGAUGCAGCAACGCCGCGUGAGGGAUGACGGCCUUCGGGUUGUAAACCGCUUUCGGCAGGGACGAAGCGUGAGUGACGGUACCUGCUGAAGAAGCACCGGCUAACUACGUG
RNAcentral lists this ribosomal RNA (468 nucleotides) under uncultured bacterium. Its description in RNAcentral is "partial 16S ribosomal RNA". It matches the Rfam family "Bacterial small subunit ribosomal RNA", at positions 28 to 507 of the family's 1533-position model. The record is from RNAcentral.